UUCCAGACUCCUACGGGAGGCAGCAGUGGGGAAUAUUGGGCAAUGGGCGCAAGCCUGACCCAGCAACGCCGCGUGAAGGAAGAAGGCUUUCGGGUUGUAAACUUCUUUUGACAGGGAAGAGCAGAAGACGGUACCUGUCGAAUAAGCCACGGCUAACUCCGUGCCAGCAGCCGCGGUAAUACGGAGGAUGCGAGCGUUAUCCGGAUUUAUUGGGUUUAAAGGGUGCGUAGGCGGAAUGCCAAGUCAGCGGUAAAAUCGCGGGGCUCAACCCCGCUCCGCCGUUGAAACUGGGUGCCUUGAGUGGGCGAGAAGUACGCGGAAUGCGUGGUGUAGCGGUGAAAUGCAUAGAUAUCACGCAGAACUCCGAUUGCGAAGGCAGCGUACCGGCGCCCGACUGACGCUGAGGCACGAAAGCGUGGGGAUCGAACAGGAUUAGAUACCCCUGUAA
This 448-nucleotide ribosomal RNA is filed under the name uncultured bacterium. RNAcentral's name for it is "partial 16S ribosomal RNA". It matches the Rfam family "Bacterial small subunit ribosomal RNA", at positions 329 to 793 of the family's 1533-position model. The record is from RNAcentral.